Homo sapiens (human) is the source of this 685-nucleotide long non-coding RNA. RefSeq lists it as uncharacterized. The transcript has 2 exons. The record is from RefSeq and is a predicted model, not a curated record. Lineage: Eukaryota; Metazoa; Chordata; Mammalia; Primates; Hominidae.
ACUUUAAUGUGUUAGGCAAUGUGGGGAUGCCAAGAUGAAUGAGAUGAUUUAGCAAGGAUCACACUGUGGCUACACUGAAGCACAGGCUUUUUUUGUUGGGGGGGUUGGGGGGCUGGUGGUGUUUGGUUUUAUUUCUUUGAAUUUUAAUACCUCUAAGGAGCACAGGAAGUGAGGUAAGGAAGGGAGGGCUGCAGAGGCUGCAAGGCACCCCUCUCCUCACCACAGCCCCCACCAUUCCCUAUCAUCCUCAUGCAUCGCUUCCCUCAUUUGCUGUCCCUGAAGGUACUGAGUUUGCUGCCCCCACAAGCAAAAGUAGGCUAGUGGGCUUAGUUAUGUCCAGAACUGGUGAUUGUUCAAGAAAGGUUACAUUAGGAGCCACCAGAGGUUUGACAGUGCUCUGGGAGAUCGGAGGGGCGAGCCCAGAGGCGGUUGUUGGGGAAGGGCAUUUCAGGGAGGAGCAGGAAUGGGAGGUGAUGAAGAGGAGCUGAGCCACAGAGGCAAAGGCCCACAGGGAAGAGGCCAGACCCAAGGUCUGUCGUCUCUUCCCCCACAAAACAGUCAGCAGCAGUGAGCUCACAGGACAGUUGUGAGGAUGAAAUGAACUAACACUUGUACAAUGCACAACCCAGCAUCUGGCUCCCAGGAAGCACCCAAUAAAUACUGGCCAUCAGUGUUUUCAUUAUUA